Molecule: ribosomal RNA, 354 nt
Filed under: Triticum aestivum (bread wheat)
Lineage: Eukaryota; Viridiplantae; Streptophyta; Magnoliopsida; Poales; Poaceae
Description: partial small subunit ribosomal RNA
Source: RNAcentral
AUGGAGACAAUGUCUACUCUAGAGGAAUCUCGUCUCAUCGGGAGAGGGAAUCAAAAAGAGGAAAUCAUCAAAUUAAUCUCAAAUAAAGAUCUCCAGCAUUUUCAUGUGUUCUCCUUGUGGGGAAUGGGUGGUAUUGGGAAAACAACACUAGUGACAGAUAUUUAUCAAACCCAAGAGAUUAGUAGCAUGUUUGAUAAGCAUGCUUGUGUCACAGUCAUGCGCCCUUUCAACUCAGCAGCACUCCUUGAGAGCUUAAUUAUGCAAUUCAGAGAUAAGAAUGAAGAUACAAAUGAGAUAGAUUUAAGGAGAUAUUUACAAGGAAAGAGAUAUUUGCUUGUUAUCUCGGGCAAGUAA